RNA transcript from Lycium ferocissimum, 2550 nucleotides. RefSeq lists it as uncharacterized. The transcript has 3 exons. NCBI's taxonomy places the organism in Eukaryota, Viridiplantae, Streptophyta, Magnoliopsida, Solanales, Solanaceae. The record is from RefSeq and is a predicted model, not a curated record.
ACUAUAAGCGGGGAUAAGCAUGCAGGUGAGGGUCCACAUGUGUGCUUCACCAGGUACAGGCAUACACGUCCAUGAUUUCUCCAGUAUUGACAUCUCAUCCAAAUUUUACAAGAUGGAAACCACCGCUUCGUAAUUUCUAAGCAUCGCUUUGAAAUUUCCAAGGUUAUCUGCUAUUCUCUUGCGAAGGAGAGCUGUAAACUUUUCUAGGGCCCAUGCUAUUUGGAAUUGGACGCUCAGUUUAGGUGCGUUGCCUGUAGAGUUAUUAGGUAAGGUUUUUUCCCUGUUUCCCCUUUCCUCUUCCAUGUUUAUCACUGUUAUUUAGAUUUUAAGAUUGUGUUGAGUUUUAAUUUGAAGAAUGCUUUCUUCUGUGUUUACAUUUAGCUUACUUUUGCCUAAAUUUUUAAGCUAAUUGGUGAUUAAUUGUUACACCUCUGUUCUUCGUGGUUUAUUCUUCACUUUAAAGUGUUAUAAUUCUUUCAAGGUGCAGUUAGAAUGGUUUUGUGUUCGUCAACUGCAUUCGAACUGGAGUUAUAUACUUCCCCUUUUCCCACAAAGUAACUGCACAUCCAACCUGCUGAAGGUUUAUGUAUGAUCAGAUGCCUAUUUCCUCUUCUUUGGGCAACAAUUAUUUGAUGUCAUAUGUACAUGACAUUGUUCUGUGAUCAGGGGUGGCUUUGUUUCCUGCAUAUGUCACCUGAACCUUGGGUAGCAAAGGUGUUCGAUAAUAAUUCUGGCUCAUUUUAUUUGGAAUAAGCAAGUCCUCCAAUUUUAUUUAACCUUGUUGUUGGGAGAUUUUCGAAUUUCUUCUUUUUUAUAGGCUUGCGAGCGGGAUGCUCUGCCUAACAUUUUGAACUGGCUGCAGCAUAAUAUACUAUUCAGUCAAGAUAUCCAUCUUCUGAAUGGCUCAUUUUACUGCAAGUAUCUUGCUUAGCUGCAUCGCGUGACAUACAGGAUAUACGAUUUCUCACAAUUUUAUUAACAAUUUUUAUCUUUCCAAUUACUUCUUGCAAGAAUGCAGAUAGUGCUAGCAAUGCUCCCAUUCCGAUUCAUCGACCAAUCACAAGAUCUAACUCUAAUUCUUGGUUGAGAAAUUCUUAUUAUCAAAUACUUAUCAUCUGGUCUGCCUUCUUUUAUGAUAGUAUGGAGCAUUCUUCCUCCUCCAUGAAUUAUGCUGUGCAAAUGGCUAACAAGCAGCAACAAUCAACAAUCAAGAUAAAUUUUUGGACAAGGGUCUUGAAUGUUCAAGUAGGAGAGACAUCAAGACUAGCUUGGCUCGGUGUGGAGGUGAAUCCACUGGCUCAUUCAGAUGAUGUCUUGAAGACUUAUAGUAGACCUACUGAGGGCCUUAAUCAGCCUUCUUCAAAAUGGCUCUGAUCCAAGAAUACCAUAGUUUCCGAUCUUGGGCUUCUUGGGAUCAAACGGGGUCAGACCGACUCAGCUUCUGAGGGGGAGACACCAGCUCCUAAGCUCGGAGAAAAAUAAUAGUCAGGAAAAAGGUAACAAGUGGAGUCUAGGUGGUUGACGAACUACUCACCAUCACUGUUCAAUUUUGCAGCUUGAGAAUUUAAUAAGCAUUUGAUUGAAUCACAAAAUGAAGACAGCUUAAAUGCAAGUCUAAUCCCGAGCAUUGCCAUGUCCACUACAGCAGAAGGUGAUUAACUGUACUAGGAUGCUGGGGAGGCUCUCUUCUCAAAUUUUUACCUCAAUUCAUUUCCGAAUCUUCAUGAAUCAUGAGACGUGAGAUUAUUGGCUAGCUGAAAUAUUUCAGGCUGAACUUUUAAAAUGAAUUCCAUAGUUAGGAGUUAGGUUUAUUGCUGCAUUCCUUUACUGUCAUGCUUUUAGAACUUGUAUUUAAAUUUUCAUAAAAAUUAUGAUUUCAUUGAAAGGAAAAUGUAGGGACCCUGCUAGAUUUGGAAGAGAUCCUAUGUAAGAGCCCUAUUUUUCAAAACACAAAUGUUAAUGUGUCGGUAUGUAGGUUGUACUAUCACAAUGGAACAGAGGCUUACUAUCGAAGCAGUAACACUGUUAACUACAGAGUGGAUGUGCAAAGUUCGGUAGUGGAGAAAUUCCACCAAACAGAAAGCAAAGACCAGUCCGUUCAUUUCCAACAAUAAUUGUACAAGAUGAAAUUAUCUGCUUGGGUUAAAAACGGGACAGACUUACUUUACUUACGUACUUCAAGAUUACUCUGAUUGAAAAUGUUUAUGGGGCUUAAAGCUUCUAACAUGUUGCAGUACGAAGCUACUUCCCCUGAUUUGGAAUGCUGAGCUUGUAACGGAUGAUGAUAUUGUGUAAACAAAGCACCGUUCCCCUGUGAAGGCUGAGUCUUUUGCUGGAUAAUUGCUAUGCAUAUGCUGACAGCAUAACAUUUUCCUAAUUUGCGUGCUUGCUGAAGUAGAAAAAAACGCAUUGACAAGUUGGGUACUAUGCUGGAAUUGCUUCAGCUGAUUUAUCAGGUCAAAGUGCUUCGACUUUUUUGAAUUUGUUGACUCAUGUACUUCUUCUAACACUGCUGAGAUAUUCAUUAACCAAAAUCACUGUUAUUACUUA